RNAcentral lists this ribosomal RNA (901 nucleotides) under uncultured bacterium. RNAcentral's name for it is "bacterial SSU rRNA". It matches the Rfam family "Bacterial small subunit ribosomal RNA", at positions 8 to 916 of the family's 1533-position model. The record is from RNAcentral.
AGAGUUUGAUCAUGGCUCAGGACGAACGCUGGCGGCGUGCUUAACACAUGCAAGUCGAAGGCAGGGAGCAAUCCCUGACUGGCGAACGGGUGCGUAACACGUGAGCGAUCUACCCUGGUGUGGGGGAUAGCCGGCCCAACGGCCGGGUAAUACCGCAUGCGUUCUCUGGGGGGCAUCCCCUGGAGAACAAAGCCUUCGGGCGCACUGGGAGGGGCUCGCGGCCUAUCAGCUAGUUGGCGGGGUAAUGGCCCACCAAGGCGACGACGGGUAGCUGGUCUGAGAGGAUGGCCAGCCACAUUGGGACUGAGAGACGGCCCAGACUCCUACGGGAGGCAGCAGUGGGGAAUCUUGCGCAAUGGGCGAAAGCCUGACGCAGCGACGCCGCGUGCGGGAGGACGGCCUUCGGGUCGUAAACCGCUGUUGCCCGGGACGAAUGCCCCUUUCGAGGGGAGUGACGGUACCGGGUGAGGAAGCACCGGCUAACUCCGUGCCAGCAGCCGCGGUAAUACGGAGGGUGCGAGCGUUGUCCGGAAUCACUGGGCGUAAAGGGCGCGUAGGCGGCUCUAGGAAGGCGGCGGUGAAAGCCCGGGGCUCAACCCCGGGUCGGCCGUGGCGACUCCUGAGCUCGAGCACAGUAGAGGCGGGUGGAAUUCCGGGUGUAGCGGUGGAAUGCGUAGAGAUCCGGAAGAACACCGGUGGCGAAGGCGGCCCGCUGGGCUGUGGCUGACGCUGAGGCGCGACAGCGUGGGGGAGCAAACAGGAUUAGAUACCCUGGUAGUCCACGCCGUAAACGAUGGGCACUAGGUGCCUGGGGGAGCGACCCCCUGGGUGCCGGCGCUAACGCAUUAAGUGCCCCGCCUGGGGAGUACGGCCGCAAGGCUGAAACUCAAGGAAUUGACGG